This 759-nucleotide ribosomal RNA is filed under the name Haemophilus influenzae. RNAcentral describes it as "bacterial SSU rRNA". It matches the Rfam family "Bacterial small subunit ribosomal RNA", at positions 28 to 776 of the family's 1533-position model. Lineage: Bacteria; Pseudomonadati; Pseudomonadota; Gammaproteobacteria; Pasteurellales; Pasteurellaceae. The record is from RNAcentral.
AUUGAACGCUGGCGGCAGGCUUAACACAUGCAAGUCGAACGGUAGCAGGAGGAAGCUUGCUUUCUUGCUGACGAGUGGCGGACGGGUGAGUAAUGCUUGGGAAUCUGGCUUAUGGAGGGGGAUAACUACGGGAAACUGUAGCUAAUACCGCGUAGUAUCGGAAGAUGAAAGUGCGGGACCGUAAGGCCGCAUGCCAUGAGAUGAGCCCAAGUGGGAUUAGGUAGUUGGUGGGGUAAAGGCCUACCAAGCCUGCGAUCUCUAGCUGGUCUGAGAGGAUGGCCAGCCACACUGGAACUGAGACACGGUCCAGACUCCUACGGGAGGCAGCAGUGGGGAAUAUUGCGCAAUGGGGGAAACCCUGACGCAGCCAUGCCGCGUGAAUGAAGAAGGCCUUCGGGUUGUAAAGUUCUUUCGGUAUUGAGGAAGGUUGAUGUGUUAAUAGUACAUCAAAUUGACGUUAAAUACAGAAGAAGCACCGGCUAACUCCGUGCCAGCAGCCGCGGUAAUACGGAGGGUGCGAGCGUUAAUCGGAAUAACUGGGCGUAAAGGGCACGCAGGCGGUUAUUUAAGUGAGGUGUGAAAGCCCCGGGCUUAACCUGGGAAUUGCAUUUCAGACUGGGUAACUAGAGUACUUUAGGGAGGGGUAGAAUUCCACGUGUAGCGGUGAAAUGCGUAGAGAUGUGGAGGAAUACCGAAGGCGAAGGCAGCCCCUUGGGAAUGUACUGACGCUCAUGUGCGAAAGCGCGGAGAGCAAACAGG